RNAcentral lists this ribosomal RNA (396 nucleotides) under uncultured bacterium. RNAcentral's name for it is "bacterial SSU rRNA". It matches the Rfam family "Bacterial small subunit ribosomal RNA", at positions 28 to 428 of the family's 1533-position model. The record is from RNAcentral.
GACGAACGCUGGCGGCGUGCUUAACACAUGCAAGUCGAGCGGUAAGGCCCUUUCGGGGGUACACGAGCGGCGAACGGGUGAGUAACACGUGGGUGACCUGCCCUUAGCUCUGGGAUAAGCCUGGGAAACUGGGUCUAAUACCGGAUAUGACUCCAUGACGCAUGUUGUGGGGUGGAAAGCCUUGUGCGGCUAGGGAUGGGCCCGCGGCCUAUCAGCUUGUUGGUGGGGUGAUGGCCACCAAGGCGACGACGGGUAGCCGGCCUGAGAGGGCGACCGGCCACACUGGGACUGAGACACGGCCCAGACUCCUACGGGAGGGCAGCAGUGGGGAAUCUUGCGCAAUGGGCGAAAGCCUGACGCAGCGACGCCGCGUGAGGGAUGACGGCCUCGGUGUAA